RNAcentral lists this ribosomal RNA (443 nucleotides) under uncultured bacterium. RNAcentral's name for it is "partial 16S ribosomal RNA". It matches the Rfam family "Bacterial small subunit ribosomal RNA", at positions 338 to 795 of the family's 1533-position model. The record is from RNAcentral.
CCUAGGGGUGGCAGCAGUGGGGAAUAUUGGGCAAUGGGCGCAAGCCUGACCCAGCAACGCCGCGUGAAGGAAGAAGGCUCUCGGGUUGUUAACUUCUUUUUUCAGGGACGAAGAAAGUGACGGUACCUGAGGAAUAAGUCACGGCUAAAUAUGUGCCGGCAGCCGCGGUAAUACGUCGGGGGCAUGCGUUAUCCGGGUUGAUUGGUUGUAAAGGGUGUGUAGUGUGGAGCUCAAGUCAGAUGUGAACACUCUGGGCUCAACCCUGAGCCUGCAUUUGAAAUUGUGUUUCUUGAGUGCUGGAGAGGCAAUCGGAAUUCCGUGUGUAGCGGUGAAAUGCUUAGAUAUACGGAGGAACACCAGUGGCGAAGGCGGAUUGCUGGACAGUAACUGACGCUGAGGCGCGAAAGCGUGGGGAGCAAACAGGAUUAGAUACCCGUGUAGUC